Molecule: ribosomal RNA, 249 nt
Filed under: uncultured archaeon
Lineage: Archaea
Description: partial 16S ribosomal RNA
Rfam family: Archaeal small subunit ribosomal RNA
Source: RNAcentral
GGCGUCACAAGUGGAGAUCAUGAUUAUUGGGUCUAAAGUGUUCGUAGCUGGUUGUAUAAGUUUCUUGUGAAAGUUCUGUAGCUUAACUCAGAAUUGCAAGAAAUACUGUACAACUUGAGACCGGAAGGGGUGUAAAGUAUGAAUUGGGUAGCGGUAAAAUGCUAUAAUCCUAUUCAGACUAACUAAGGCGAAGGCAUUACACUAAGACGGAUCUGACAGUGAGGAACGAGAGCUGGGGGAGCGAACCGG